Molecule: long non-coding RNA, 604 nt
Filed under: Mus spretus (western wild mouse)
Lineage: Eukaryota; Metazoa; Chordata; Mammalia; Rodentia; Muridae
Description: lncRNA (ENSMSPG00010052158.1)
Source: RNAcentral
GUUUUGGAGCAGUUGUUUCCACAGUUGGGACUUGUUUGGCUUGCCCAGGAGGAUGGGAAUAGUAAAGUCAGCUUAGGGACUUGAUGCGGGACCCGAUCUUAUUCCAUAGCACUGUAGAACUUGCUGUGUAAUAUCGAGGUUGAUCAGCACAAUUUGUUGAAGAUUAUUUUUUCCCAUGUGUAUUUCCGACUUUGUCAAAAAUCAAGAAACACUUAUGCAGCUUGGAGGAUGGCAGAGAGGAAUUGAGGUGGCCUAGGAAAGAACUUCCCGAAGAGCUAAGGGGAUCCUGUCCACAUCUGGAGCGAAGACACCCUCCUGGUGCAGACAGCAAAAGGCCUGUUUCAAGUGAGGGAUGGCUAGUUCAAGGACAGGAGGGUGACAUCACAAGGACCAAUCUGUAAGCCAGAAGACUCAGAAGACUAAAAAGGCAAAAUUAGGUAGCAGGGGUUACCUGCUCAGAGCAGAGACAGAUGGGAAACUUCUGUCAUCAUUAAGGUUUUAUUGACCAGCGCGGCUGGAAUUUCCCAGAGAGAGGAAUUCAUCUCGCUACCGACUGAGAGCAGACAUUCUGCUGGGAGUAGUUACAUAAAUUCUGUUGCUCAAA